CAUUGAACCAUCAGAAAGCAAAGGUCGCUAUCCCAGCCACCUGUGAACAAAGUUUUGGAUUUUGGAGCAUUUUGGGUUUUUUUCAAGGAGAGAUACUGAACCUUUAUUGACCUUUUCCCCAGCUGCAGGGGUUCUUCAUGUCAGAGUGUGAAUGUUUAACAGAACCAGUUUGUUUUGACAUUGUUAAGCUUCAAAAAGCAAAGCAUAAUAUGUAUGCUAAUAUUUCCAGUAUGGUAAACAUCACUUAAAAUGAAGAUAUGACAUUUUAUGAGCUGUUGCGCAGCCAUUGGUACCUGUAUUGGGGAAAUAUAGCAUACAAGCAAGAACCUCACAGCCUCGGUGGCGAAAAAUUUUUCAUGUCAGAGACCGAGAACUCUUGCAGUCGUUUAUGUCAUCACGUCUUCUCCAGACAGAAGAUACCAAAAAGUUGCAAUCAAAGAUCUCUCCAUCUUAUUGAUAAAGCCACUAAUAAGCCAAAAUGUCUGUCAAUGUCAACCGCAGUGUGUCCGAUCAGUUCUAUCGCUACAAAAUGCCCCGUCUGAUUGCCAAGGUUGAGGGCAAAGGAAAUGGGAUAAAGACAGUUAUAGUCAACAUGGUUGACGUUGCAAAGGCGCUUAAUCGGCCUCCUACGUGUAAGUUGAUACAAUUUAUCUUUGGGCUUCUUAUUACUACAAGUCACUAUAAACGUGUUUCCUAGAGGCUACAAACUGCCUGUAAAUUUAACUUGGAAGUAAAAGGAUCCUUGCAGUAGCUAUGAUAGUCUUAGAGGUUCCAUACACAGCUUUGUAUUGCUGGCAUCAUGAGCUCAGUAGCCCUCGCAGCAGAUAAGAAAUAGCUGUGUGUGCAGCUUUGUGUCACGGUGAUGGCAAGUCCUAUGGUGCACAGUACUUGUAAUUUGGAAGCCACCUUGAGUAUGAGUUGCAAAUGGUAGAGAAAGUGUGGUAUAAAAUUUAUUAAUAACAGUCUAAAACUUCAAAGUGGUCACUAGUUUUGUGUUACCCUAUAUUUCAUAAAAGGCAAUGGUGAACCAGAUGUGAAGUGUGUGGAAAUGCUGUGGUGAUGCAAUUUAUUAAUGUUGUUAGGAGAGAAUGUCAUAAUCUUAAUGAUAAAGUAAUUGGACAGUAAAGACGCGUUCAUAUUGAGAAUUAUAAUUACUGUUUCUGCACAAUCAAAUGAAGCAUG
This is a long non-coding RNA of Sceloporus undulatus (fence lizard), 1182 nucleotides long. RefSeq lists it as uncharacterized. The record is from RefSeq and is a predicted model, not a curated record. Lineage: Eukaryota; Metazoa; Chordata; Lepidosauria; Squamata; Phrynosomatidae. The transcript has 3 exons.